RNAcentral lists this long non-coding RNA (761 nucleotides) under Amborella trichopoda. Its description in RNAcentral is "long non-coding RNA (ATRI_LNC000084)". The record is from RNAcentral. Lineage: Eukaryota; Viridiplantae; Streptophyta; Magnoliopsida; Amborellales; Amborellaceae.
GAGAGCAAAGCGGAAAACGAGCUUAAAUAAGGCAAUACCAGAAGAACUCCAUUAGCGGCAAAUAAGCAAUCCGCAUAAACAAAAGCCUCAAACAAAGUAGGUACGAGUAUCAACAGGUCUCAGGAAGAACGGCCAUAUCAGAGUAUGCUCGAACAAUCAGACAAAAACUUUAGAUUUUCUCUGAAGACACAGUCGAGAAAAUAAAAUACAUUUGGAAGAGUCAACAAAAUUCAGUGUGGAUCUGAUACGGAUUCAACAACUCGCAGACAUAUAUAUACAUGAUGCUCAGUGUGGAUCUGAUACGAAUUCAGCAGCUCACAGACAGAUAUACAAGAUGGGAGUAACAAACUCGAUCUUAUAGACAAAAACAGACAAUGGAUGAAAGGAACACAAUGACCUCGUUUACUUUUGACGUGUUAGUGAGGGAAAGAAAGGGAAAUUGAGAAUAAGCGAGUAGAAAAAAGAAGCGAAAGGUAAGAGAGAACAUCUUCCUUUCCUCUCUGCAACCGAAUGAAUCAUAUCCGUAAGAGGAAGAACAUGUUGGCGGUGCUUUCAUAUCAUGGUAGAAGCAGCGAUGGCGGAGUUUCAAAUGGACGAUUUCAAAUAUUGUUCAGAGCGGAUUUUCAGAUCCGGAUGCACUUUCAAUGGUAUUUUUAGAGGCCAUUUAUCACAGGCCAGGCCAGUCAAUUUCAGAGAGAAGGCCAUGAUUACUAGAUAUGGCAAUUUUUCAGAGGUCAGCCGUUUUUUUCACUUUCACACGG